GAUGAACGCUCGCUACAGGCUUAACACAUGCAAGUCGAGGGGAAACGCCAUUGAAGCUUGCUUCGAUGGUCGUCGACCGGCGCACGGGUGAGUAACGCGUAUCCAACCUGCCUCUGACCAAGGGAUAACCCGUCGAAAGUCGGCCUAAUACCUUAUGCAGUCGUCGGAAGUCAUCUGAUGACGACGAAAGAUUUCAUCGGUGAGAGAUGGGGAUGCGUCUGAUUAGCUUGUUGGCGGGGUAACGGCCCACCAAGGCAACGAUCAGUAGGGGUUCUGAGAGGAAGGUCCCCCACAUUGGAACUGAGACACGGUCCAAACUCCUACGGGAGGCAGCAGUGAGGAAUAUUGGUCAAUGGGCGAGAGCCUGAACCAGCCAAGUAGCGUGCAGGAUGACGGCCCUAUGGGUUGUAAACUGCUUUUAUGCGGGGAUAAAGUGAGGGACGUGUCCUUCAUUGCAGGUACCGCAUGAAUAAGGACCGGCUAAUUCCGUG
This 491-nucleotide ribosomal RNA is filed under the name uncultured bacterium. RNAcentral's name for it is "partial 16S ribosomal RNA". It matches the Rfam family "Bacterial small subunit ribosomal RNA", at positions 28 to 507 of the family's 1533-position model. The record is from RNAcentral.